AUAGCGGGAAUGAGGUUCUCCCGCGGCAAAUGCCGAAACCGCCCAAGGGCUGAUGACUUCUGCAAUC
This 67-nucleotide non-coding RNA is filed under the name human gut metagenome. RNAcentral's name for it is "Fluoride riboswitch". It matches the Rfam family "Fluoride riboswitch aptamer (crcB RNA motif)", at positions 10 to 61 of the family's 64-position model. The record is from RNAcentral.